This 256-nucleotide ribosomal RNA is filed under the name Listeria monocytogenes. RNAcentral describes it as "partial 23S ribosomal RNA". It matches the Rfam family "Bacterial large subunit ribosomal RNA", at positions 397 to 652 of the family's 2925-position model. Lineage: Bacteria; Bacillati; Bacillota; Bacilli; Caryophanales; Listeriaceae. The record is from RNAcentral.
CUGUGAGCUCGAUGAGUAGGGCGGGACACGUGGUAUCCUGUCUGAAUAUGGGGGGACCAUCCUCCAAGGCUAAAUACUCCUGACUGACCGAUAGUGAACCAGUACCGUGAGGGAAAGGCGAAAAGAACCCCGGCGAGGGGAGUGAAAAAGAACCUGAAACCGUGUACGUACAAGCAGUGGGAGCACGCUUAGGCGUGUGACUGCGUACCUUUUGUAUAAUGGGUCAGCGACUUAUAUUCUGUAGCAAGGUUAACCG